GGGUCGCUAGCUCAAUUGGCUAGAGCAUUCGGCUGGUAGCACGUCCGCCCUCCGCCUCGUGCGGGUAUGGGAGUGCUUCCUUCUCCUGAUGGAUCGAAGGGUUCGGGGUUCGAGUCCCCGGCGGCCCA
RNAcentral lists this transfer RNA (128 nucleotides) under Actinoplanes xinjiangensis. RNAcentral's name for it is "tRNA-Thr". It matches the Rfam family "tRNA". From Rfam's summary of the family: Transfer RNA (tRNA) molecules are approximately 80 nucleotides in length. Their secondary structure includes four short double-helical elements and three loops (D, anti-codon, and T loops). Lineage: Bacteria; Bacillati; Actinomycetota; Actinomycetes; Micromonosporales; Micromonosporaceae. The record is from RNAcentral.